CCACACAUGCAUCCGGCCUCUAGGAGGCAUCCACACGAGCCCACGAAUCACGAUCAGAAGUUCUGGUUCAGAAAAUCAGCACAGUAUGCUAGUACUGUGCUGAUCCUUCUUCGAUGGUCGAUUAGAUGUCUCAUUCUUCUUGAUUUAAACUCUUUCAAAGAUGAGAAGUAGGAGAAAAAGUUUUAGAUAUAAGACACUCUCAGAAAACUCAUAGA
This 215-nucleotide long non-coding RNA is filed under the name Elaeis guineensis (African oil palm). RNAcentral describes it as "long non-coding RNA (EGUI_LNC053007)". Lineage: Eukaryota; Viridiplantae; Streptophyta; Magnoliopsida; Arecales; Arecaceae. The record is from RNAcentral.